Long non-coding RNA from Monodelphis domestica (gray short-tailed opossum), 762 nucleotides. RefSeq lists it as uncharacterized. NCBI's taxonomy places the organism in Eukaryota, Metazoa, Chordata, Mammalia, Didelphimorphia, Didelphidae. The record is from RefSeq and is a predicted model, not a curated record.
UCAAGUGUGGGUUGAUUCUGCCAGGUCACAUUGAAUGAGUUAGGGUCCUAGUGUCAGAUACUGGGGCACAGCUACAAAGGAGAAAUAGUUAUACAACUGAGGGGUUUGGAGAGUUGGAUCUCUCCUUCAUCCUUUCUAUUUGUUCCAACCUUGCCUGUUUAUGGGUUAGUGAAUGCAGCAAAAAAUGAUCUCCUUCUUGCCUCAAUAGCUUGUUUCUUAGCAGUCUCUGAAGGAUAGAGGAAAAAUUUCUUUCUGCAAUCCAAAGUCUAUAUGUUCUCAUCAUCAUUGACUCAAUUUUGGGGGUGCCACAACUUGUAAAGCUGGGAUCCAGAGAGAAGAGGCAGAUCUCCUAGGAUGAGAAGAAACUUGAGUCUCUCUGAAGAUCAACUGUUUCCCUUUGAAUACCUGGAUACCUCUCACUCAGCUCUCAAUAACAGAAGUCAGAGCCAUCAUUGGUUAUUGUGGACUGGGACUUUGAAGGAAUGUCUGCAGAGAUCCCUUUUCAAAGAUAUCAUUCUCCAUCUCUCUCCCUAGUCUGUUUCUGGGCUCCUGUAUUUAAAGCUAGUUAGCUUAGAAGUAGGGAUCAGCUGGUGGCAGACAUGAAGAGGAAUCAAAGCUGAGAAAGCCUUUAACCCCUAAACUUUGGAGGACCAAUUUGCCAGAGGGGAUAAGUGUAGGGCCUCCUGUACCCCCAUUUUAUCUACUUGAUACCCAUUACUACUCCUUCCCUAUUUGAACCCAAAUAAAUUAUCUGCUGCUUUA